RNAcentral lists this ribosomal RNA (488 nucleotides) under uncultured Lachnospiraceae bacterium. Its description in RNAcentral is "partial 16S ribosomal RNA". The record is from RNAcentral. Lineage: Bacteria; Bacillati; Bacillota; Clostridia; Lachnospirales; Lachnospiraceae.
CACGUAGUUAGCCGGGGCUUCUUAGUCAGGUACCGUCAUUAUCUUUCCUGCUGAUAGAGCUUUACAUACCGAGAUACUUCUUCACUCACGCGGCGUCGCUGCAUCAGGGUUUCCCCCAUUGUGCAAUAUUCCCCACUGCUGCCUCCCGUAGGAGUCUGGGCCGUGUCUCAGUCCCAAUGUGGCCGCUCACCCUCUCAGGCCGGCUACUGAUCGUCGCUUUGGUGGGCCGUUACCCCGCCAACUGGCUAAUCAGACGCGGAUCCAUCGUAUACCACCGGAGUUUUUCACACUGCUCCAUGCGGAGCUGUGCGCUCAUGCGGUAUUAGCACCUAUUUCUAAGUGUUAUCCCCCGGUAUACGGCAGGUUAUCCACGCGUUACUCACUCGUCCGCCACUAACCUGUAUAUCACUAGGUUUCAAUACAGUAUCCGUUCGACUUGCAUGUGUUAGGCACGCCGCCAGCGUUCAUCCUGAGCAGGAUCAAACUCC